Arachis ipaensis is the source of this 1586-nucleotide RNA transcript. RefSeq lists it as uncharacterized. The record is from RefSeq and is a predicted model, not a curated record. NCBI's taxonomy places the organism in Eukaryota, Viridiplantae, Streptophyta, Magnoliopsida, Fabales, Fabaceae.
UUUUACGCUGUGCAUACGCACAUGCCUGAUGGGUACACACACUCUUAUAGACACCCUCUACUCACAGCGUUCACACAGCUUGUGCAUACGCACUAUUGCUCAUUUUUCUUUCCGCGCGUGCGUACGCACCUUACGCACCUCCAAUUCACGCCCCUCUGCUGGGAGCGCCCUCACAGUUGGUGUGUCCGCAUCCUACUACCUCUCCCCUUCUGUUGUCUUUUCCUCUUCCCUGAGCCAACGAAGCCCUUCCCUUUUCGUAUUCUCUUAACCUCCACCACCCUCAUCUUCUCACCGCCGGCGGACACCCAUCCCUCUCCCCUUCCUCUUCUCCUUCUUCUUUGCUUUUCGCUUCUUCUCAAACACAACGCAGCUUCUGCUUCUUCUUCUGCGCCACCCUCCCGCGUCGAACCACCGCUCGCGCCAGUGCCGCCCUCGAAGCUCUUCCCCUCUCUCUAUCUCAGUCGCAGAACCACCGAAACCAAGCCCAGGACCACAGCGCCGCCAGCAACCCUCAUCGCCUCUGCCGCUGCCCUGUUUCCACCGCGCUCCCUUCCCUCUGUCCGAACCCUAGCUCCGCCAACCACCACCGCGAACCACCAUAGCCUCCACCAUCACCUUCGCCCUAACCCACAACCCACCAUACCACCACAACGCCGUUGCACAUCCCCAUCGCACAGCCCUCCUUCUUUCUUUUCCCAUUGCCGCCAGUGCCCUAUCAUCUCAGCGCCGAACCAGCCUCCAACCACAUCGCCACCGGUUCUCCCUUGCUCUGUGCGAGACCCAUACCACCUAACCUCCACUCUCAACCACCCCCUUGUCUCUGUUUCCCCCUUCCACUGCCUGCGAGAGCGCGUACAGGACAUAUCCCCUGUUUCCAUUUCACUGGACCCCAGGGUAGCCAGCUGCGCCAGCACCACCACCAGGCCGACCAAUUCUGCUGCUGCCCCACACACUUCCAGUGCCUGCCUUCCCCUCCCCUGUUCCGUUCCUUCCUUCCAGUAGCACCAUCACUCUUACAACCACUCUAUCGCCUAACCCACCAGCGUGAUGAGCCGGAAGAGGCAUGGGACAGUAGAGGUGAUGCAGUGACGACUCCUUUCGCUUCGCAAGAUCUUGAGCACCGAGGACGGUGCUACAAUUUAAGUGUGGGGGAGGAUCGCCAACUUCAAGGGAGGUCCUAAAGGCAAGUUUGGCAAGGCAAAAGUGGAAGGAAACAUGUACAAAGGGAGAAAACUUGAAGAAAACAAAGGAAAAGCACACAUUGGAGUGUGCGUGCGCACGACCUAGUGUGCGUACGCACGACCUAGUGUGCGUACGCACAAAAGUCACAAAACCAUGUGUGCGUACGCACGACAACCUGUGCGUACGCAUAAGAAGAAAAUUAGCAUGUGUGCGUCCGCACACGUCCCAGCGCGUGACUUAUUUAAUGGAAAUCGCUGGCGGCAAUUUCUGGGCUUCCAAGGCCCAGUUUUUGGACUUUUUGAUGCUGAUUCUUUCUAUAUUAAGCAAGGCCUCACUCCAUUUGAAAGGGGAGCAAUUAGGGUUAGAUUUUAGUCAUAUAGUUUAUUUUCUAGAGAGAGAAGCUC